AACAUAUCGAAUAGCAAAUAUAUCCCUAUGUUAUUACUGCAAAAGUUCUAACAUUUUCAAAUAUACCCCAGCAGUUAGGAUCUGUUAAAAAAAUAUAGUUAAUCAUAUGUAAAAUACUUAAUCUUGUUUAGUAAAUGAGAUAAAUUGAUUUUUUUACCUCUCUUAUUUUUACCUCUCAUAUAUUAUUUGUGAUGAUAGAAAGAAAGAAGAUAACUGGUGGAGAGACAUUUCUGCAUAAUUCUAGUAGUUAGGAUUUUUGGAGAAACAUAUUUGUGGUAGCCAAAAUAUUAUUUUACUUAUCUUUUGUUAAAAAAUAAACAGUGUUCUUACGGUAACAAAUCAGAGAGGCAAAUAUGAAUAUUAUUUGACUUUUGUAGGAAUAAAUAUGAAAAGUUGAAUUUUAUAGGGUUGUAUUUGCUAUUCGAUAUAUUUACCAGGGAGCUGUAUGAAAUUAACCCUAACUUUUUUCAUUUGCUAAAUUGUGCCUUUUUUUAAUAAUACUAUUAUAUUAUUAUAUUUUAUCAAUCUACACACUCUAUUUUAAAUUUAUUUUUAUUUUUCUAUCUUGUACUAUUUUUUUCCCAUAUACAUUAGCAAACUAUUUUUUUUCAUUAAUCUCUACAUAUUUUAACAAAUUCAUUAUUUUAGACAAAAUCUAACACCUUUAUUAAGAUGCACCGACUAAAUAAUAAAAAAAAUGCUAAAAUAAAUUUUCACGAUAAAUUAAUUAAAAGUUUCUAUUAAGUUAUUUUUAAUUAUUCUUUAUUAUUUUUAUGUAUUUUAUUAUUUUUUGUGUUAAAAUGAAUUG
This 808-nucleotide long non-coding RNA is filed under the name Ananas comosus (pineapple). RNAcentral's name for it is "long non-coding RNA (ACOM_LNC027134)". Lineage: Eukaryota; Viridiplantae; Streptophyta; Magnoliopsida; Poales; Bromeliaceae. The record is from RNAcentral.